Non-coding RNA from Pelobates cultripes (western spadefoot toad), 120 nucleotides. The record is from the annotation of a GenBank genome assembly. Lineage: Eukaryota; Metazoa; Chordata; Amphibia; Anura; Pelobatidae.
CUCCCCCUCCCACAACUCCCGGCUCCGCCUUCCCAUAUAUAUAUAUAUAUAUAUAUAUAUAUAUAUAUAUAUAUAUAUACACAUACAGGAAGGCAGAGCCGGGAGUUGUGGGAUUGAUUG